GUAGUGUCAUGGUCCGUGGUCCUGUGUCUGUGGAAUGCGUGAUGCUCGGGUAGCCACACCCCCGGGCUGAGCCAUCACCGGCACACCUGCUCUCCAUCGCGGUGAUUACAUGAAGAGCUACUUAACCCGGCGCUGACGGAUGCUCCACGCCAGUCCGUUAAUCACCUCACAGUGGUAACUAGACUUCCACGAAAGCGUGCAUUCACUUCUGGUUGGAACUGUGUUUAAUCCGUCUACUUGUGUCCAGGUUUCGACCCGGCGUUCGGCGUCUGCCACCUGCCUGUCCUCCGGCUCAACUAGAUCGCUCGGUGCAUCAUCUGGCCCAUUCGCUAUCCCCACGGACUUCCUGCUCACGGACUGCCACACUUCCCUCCCGAGCUCACACAAAAGCAACACUUUCUGUUAAACACAGUGGUUUAACUUAUAUAAUCUUAAUAAAUAAGCCUAUGUUAUUAUUUCGACCAGAGUUAUGUCAGCAUGAUUUCACAAUUCUCCAAGAUCAAAACAGGAAAUUAUCAAAGAAAGAUUACACAACUUUAGUAAAGCUCUGUUGUUGGUGUGGAUGAAGCCACUUUUGAAGAAUCCUGGAACAAAGUAUGAAAGAUUAAUAUAAGUCAAGCUAAACUGCAUAAAAACAAAGAACAAAGGAAAGGUGAAAUAAGAGAACAAAAUAAGAGUCAAUGUACCCAUCACAAGCUAAAAUUAAAAAAAUAAAUAAAUAAAUAAAAAAACAGAAUUUUUACUACAAGCAGAAGAGAGGGGACCAGUGUGGGGCUGCUAACAUCCUGUUUUGCAAUCUUGCUCAUAUAACUUUGACAGUUAGCUGUCUCGCUUUGGUUUUUGACCAGUGUAAAGUUACAAAAUCAAUUUGAGGAAACCCACAACCAAUAAGACAUAAUAGUAUAGAGUAGAACAUACCAUUUAGCUUGUUCCAUCUGUUCCGGAUGUUUCUGCUAUGAAGAGCAUCCACAUCAGAUUUUAACUGACCAAAGAUAUUUCUCUGCCAUCUAAAGCUUACUUGUGAGCUUUAUUUUGA
Astatotilapia calliptera (eastern happy) is the source of this 1036-nucleotide long non-coding RNA. NCBI's taxonomy places the organism in Eukaryota, Metazoa, Chordata, Actinopteri, Cichliformes, Cichlidae. The record is from Ensembl.